GACGGAGGUGAGGGACCGGAGAAGCGUCACUUGCCAGCGCGACAUGGCGAAACUACUGGCCGUCUACCUGCUGCUGCUGGUUGCUGCCCUGCUCUGUGAACAGGCCCUCGCCUGCACGCCGGGCACCCGGAAAUACGACGGCUGCAACUGGUGCAGGUGUUCCAGUGGCGGAGCCUGGACGUGCACGCUCCGAUACUGUCCUCCCUCCAGGGGUGGCGGUGGGGGUACUAUAUUGGUGUGACCUCUAUGUGAUGCCUAGGUCAGCUGCCCAUGGAGCCUUACUGAGCAGUGAUCUACUCCUUCAAUAGCGUUAAAAUUUUGAUGUAGACCUAACGAAUGGCUACAAAUAAAAUUUGAUAUACUCAA
Schistocerca gregaria is the source of this 366-nucleotide long non-coding RNA. RefSeq lists it as uncharacterized. The transcript is spliced from 3 exons. Lineage: Eukaryota; Metazoa; Arthropoda; Insecta; Orthoptera; Acrididae. The record is from RefSeq and is a predicted model, not a curated record.